AUUGAACGCUGGCGGCAGGCCUAACACAUGCAAGUCGAACGGUAACAGGAAGCAGCUUGCUGCUUUGCUGACGAGUGGCGGACGGGUGAGUAAUGUCUGGGAAACUGCCUGAUGGAGGGGGAUAACUACUGGAAACGGUAGCUAAUACCGCAUAACGUCGCAAGACCAAAGAGCGGGACCUUAGGGCCUCUUGCCAUCGGAUGUGCCCAGAUGGGAUUAGCUAGUAGGUGGGGUAACGGCUCACCUAGGCGACGAUCCCUAGCUGGUCUGAGAGGAUGACCAGCCACACUGGAACUGAGACACGGUCCAGACUCCUACGGGAGGCAGCAGUGGGGAAUAUUGCACAAUGGGCGCAAGCCUGAUGCAGCCAUGCCGCGUGUAUGAAGAAGGCCUUCGGGUUGUAAAGUACUUUCAGCGGGGAGGAAGAGAGUAAAGUUAAUACCUUUGCUCAUUGACGUUACCCGAAGAAGAAGCACCGGCUAACUCCGUG
This 490-nucleotide ribosomal RNA is filed under the name uncultured bacterium. RNAcentral describes it as "partial 16S ribosomal RNA". It matches the Rfam family "Bacterial small subunit ribosomal RNA", at positions 30 to 507 of the family's 1533-position model. The record is from RNAcentral.